This is a long non-coding RNA of Gallus gallus (chicken), 1510 nucleotides long. NCBI's taxonomy places the organism in Eukaryota, Metazoa, Chordata, Aves, Galliformes, Phasianidae. The record is from Ensembl.
CUUGCUUCGGGCUUCCUUCUGCAGAGAAGGUCCUGCGCUCUGCAGUGAGUGAGCCUGUGGUGCUCCUGGAGCAGACCAGAGCUUGCAGAGCCAGAGGAGACCUUCACUGUCUUCAUGUGCCUUCCCUGUAACAUUCACUGCCCUGGAGUGGCUGUGCUUGGCCAGCAUGUCAGAUCGGUAGGGCAUUAGAAAUAUUACAGGCUAUUAAAUACACUGUUGGAGUGUUUGGCUGGACUAACUGUUGCUUUUAACAGAGUUGAGAUCUGAGAUCUUUGGGUCUGACGGGGUUUGGAUGUAAACUUUGUUCAUUUGGUUUUUGAAGAAGGAAGUGCUUUGGUGCUUUGAAGGGAAAAAAAAAUGAAGGCAGUACUGCAAGUCUCUUCCUUAAAUCAAAGUUUGCUGUUUGAAAUGGGAACAACUCAGCAGAGCAGUUUAAGUAAACAUUGCCAUAACCGCUUAUCUGAGACACUGGCAUCCUCUCUUUUUGCUGUGCUGCUUUCUUGUGGUAUCCUGGAGUCGCUUUCAUAGAUGUAUACAUCUAUGUCCAUUUGCUAAUGCAACCGUUCCUGAGUCAUCUCAAGGUAGUGUUUAGCAGAGAAGAUAAAAUCAAGGCCAAGACAGCAAGUGCCUGAUGCUGUCCUGUUGGAGCCUAUGAGGGGUGUCAAUGAGCAUAGUAUAAACACCAGGAGAACUGCACAAAGUCAUGCAUGUGGGUGAGAGGUAAGGAAUUAGGUGCUGUCCUCUACCGUCAGUGCCUGAGCAUAGGAUCGUAUUUUUUUACUAGGUAGAAAAACUGCACCAUAUUGCACAAAUGGCUUAUUUAAAGCCUGGGUGUUUUUGCCUGUGUGUUAAAGCACUGGGUUUCUUAUCCACGGCACGCUGAUCCAUAUAAGUAACUUUUGUACACUUAAGUGGGCAAGAGGAAUAAAAUCAAUUAGGGAAGGAGAGGAGAAGACUCUGCCUCUCUGCCAGUUCUGUGAUGCUUCAGGUAAUGCUGCAUCAGGACAAGGCUGGUGAUCUCAGGUGCAUUUUAGUCAUAUUAUUUAAAAAAAAGAAGGCAAAAGACCAACGAUGUUCCUUGUUGAAUUGGUAUCCGAAAUGAAGAAGUUACUACACAUAGGAAUGUAAGUAUAUUCUACUGCCUCUGUCAAUCUAGCACACAGAAAGAGCUUCUCCUCUGUUUGGAUCCGCUCUUCUUUCAUAAUGGGCAGCAACUUGUUUACUAAUGCUUGAAAGCAUGUACACAUCAAAUAAAUCUCUGGUAUUUGGGCCAUAGUGUACUAGCAUUUUGCAAAGGGAAGAUUAACCACACACUAUAUUAAGCUGUGAUCCACUUUACUCUUGAUUCCUAGCUACAGUAAAUCAGUCAAACCAUCAAAGAACAAAAUUAGUGGAAGGGUUCCUCAGACAAUAGAUUUAUUUCCAUAUUUAUUUGCAUUAUUGUUAAGAAAAGGGCAAUCAGAAGAGCUAAUCUCUGUGGGACUCAGGCUGUUACAAAUUAAUCGAAGUG